ACAAACACCAGCUUACCCCGGA
RNAcentral lists this microRNA (22 nucleotides) under Cordylochernes scorpioides. Lineage: Eukaryota; Metazoa; Arthropoda; Arachnida; Pseudoscorpiones; Chernetidae. The record is from RNAcentral.